RNAcentral lists this ribosomal RNA (493 nucleotides) under uncultured bacterium. RNAcentral describes it as "bacterial SSU rRNA". It matches the Rfam family "Bacterial small subunit ribosomal RNA", at positions 29 to 511 of the family's 1533-position model. The record is from RNAcentral.
AGUGAACGCUGGCGGCAGGCCUAAUACAUGCAAGUCGAACGGCAGCACAGCAGAGCUUGCUCUGUGGGUGGCGAGUGGCGGACGGGUGAGGAAUACAUGGGAAUCUGCCCAGUCGUGGGGGAUAACGUAUGGAAACGUACGCUAAUACCGCAUGCGCCCUACGGGGGAAAGCCGGGGACCGCAAGGCCUGGCGCGAUUGGAUGAGCCCAUGUUCGAUUAGCUAGUUGGCGGGGUAAAGGCCCACCAAGGCGACGAUCGAUAGCUGGUCUGAGAGGAUGAUCAGCCACACUGGAACUGAGACACGGUCCAGACUCCUACGGGAGGCAGCAGUAGGGAAUAUUGGACAAUGGGGGCAACCCUGAUCCAGCCAUGCCGCGUGAGUGAAGAAGGCCCUCGGGUUGUAAAGCUCUUUUGUCCGGAAAGAAAGCAAUCGGUUAAUACCCGGUUGUUCUGACGGUACCGGAAGAAUAAGCACCGGCUAACUUCGUGCCAG